CCCCUAGACGUUCUGGGCUGCACGCGCGCUACAAUAAUACGCACAGCGAGUAUCACCGAGCUCGAAAGGGCAAGGUAAACAAUAGAAAAGGUACUGUAAUGGUUAUAGAUCCUUGUAAUUAUUGAGCUUCAACGAGGAAUUCCUAGUAAGUAUGUGUCAUCAUCACGCACUGAUUACGUCCCUGCCCUUUGUACACACCGCCCGUCGCUCCUACCGAUUGGGUGAGCCGAUGAAACUCUCGGAUGUAGGCUAUUCAUAGCCCGCAGAAGAGAUUUGAAUCGUAGCGCUUAGAGGAAGGAGAAGUCGUAACA
This 311-nucleotide ribosomal RNA is filed under the name uncultured eukaryote. RNAcentral's name for it is "partial 18S ribosomal RNA". It matches the Rfam family "Eukaryotic small subunit ribosomal RNA", at positions 1470 to 1796 of the family's 1831-position model. The record is from RNAcentral.